UCAAAAAUCCGAAAAAACGGCGUCAGUAAAAUCUCAGGGAAAAAUCAAUCGAUUUUCGUGAUUCUUUUUUUUCUUGUGUAAGGAAUAGAUGGAAGUAUAAGAUAGGGUGAGGGUACAAAGAAGUUCGAUGCUCCUCACGUCACGGUGUCGGCACUGGCCCAAAGUCAAAAAAUAUUUCGAAAAUACGAAAAACGUCCCCAUUUGUCAGUCAGAUUUUUAGCAGGUCAUGUUUAGUGUCAAUCGAAAGGUAAUUUCAGUAACUUUUAAACGAACCACAUUUU
Long non-coding RNA from Bradysia coprophila, 281 nucleotides. The record is from RefSeq and is a predicted model, not a curated record. NCBI's taxonomy places the organism in Eukaryota, Metazoa, Arthropoda, Insecta, Diptera, Sciaridae.